Molecule: ribosomal RNA, 301 nt
Filed under: uncultured bacterium
Lineage: Bacteria
Description: partial 16S ribosomal RNA
Rfam family: Bacterial small subunit ribosomal RNA
Source: RNAcentral
CAGCAGCCACGGUAAUACGUAGGUGGCAAGCGUUGUCCGGAAUUACUGGGCGUAAAGGGAGCGUAGGCGGGUCGUUUAGUCAGAGGUGAAAUCCCGGGGCUCAACCUCGGAACUGCCUUUGAUACUGGCGACCUUGAGUAUGGGAGAGGUGAGUGGAACUCCGAGUGUAGAGGUGAAAUUCGUAGAGAUGUGGAGGAACACCAGUGGCGAAGGCGACUCUCUGGUCUGUAACUGACGCUGAGGAGCGAAAGCGUGGGGAGCGAACAGGAUUAGAUACCCGAGUAGUCCCUGUCUCUUAUAC